Molecule: unclassified non-coding RNA, 310 nt
Filed under: plant metagenome
Description: partial contains 5.8S ribosomal RNA, internal transcribed spacer 2, and large subunit ribosomal RNA
Rfam family: 5.8S ribosomal RNA (bases 1-105)
Source: RNAcentral
GAAAGGCGAAACGUAAUGUGAAUUGCAGAAUUCAGUGAAUCAUCGAAUCUUUGAACGCACAUUGCGCCCCUUGGUAUUCCAUGGGGCAUGCCUGUUCGAGCGUCAUUUGUACCCUCAAGCUCUGCUUGGUGUUGGGUGUUUGUCCCCGUCUCCGCGCGUGGACUCGCCCCAAAGUGAUUGGCAGCCGGCGUACUGGUCCCGGAGCGCAGCACAUGUCGCGCAAACGAGUGCCUUGGUACGGCGGCGUCCAUAAGCCCCUCUCUCACGCUCUUGACCUCGGAUCAGGUAGGGAUACCCGCUGAACUUAAGC